UUUCCGGUUGAUCCCGCCGGGAAGCUACUGCUAUCGGGAUUCGAUUAAGCCAUGCGAGUCGAGAGGGUUCGGCCCUCGGCUGACGGCUCAGUAACACGUGGAUAACCUGCCCUCAGGUAGGGGAUAAUCUCGGGAAACUGAGGAUAAUACCCUAUAGACAUCCUUUGCUGGAAUGCUUGGAUGUUCAAAGGCAACGCCUGAGGAUGGGUCUGCGGCCUAUCAGGUAGUAGUGGGUGUAACGGACCCACUAGCCCACGACGGGUACGGGCCUUGAAAGAGGUAGCCCGGAGAUGGACUCUGAGACACGAGUCCAGGCCCUACGGGGUGCAGCAGGCGCGAAAACUUCGCAAUGCGGGAAACCGUGACGAGGGAAUCCCGAGUGCUCAUACAAUGUAUGGGCUUUUCUGAUGUGUAAAAAGUAUUAGGAAUAAGGGCUGGGUAAGACCGGUGCCAGCCGCCGCGGUAAUACCGGCAGCUCUAGUGGUAGCCACUUUUAUUGGGCCUAAAGCGUCCGUAGCCGGUCAGGUAAAUCCUUGGGUAAAUCGUACAGCUUAACUGUGCGGCUUCCGGGGAGACUGCUUGACUUGGGACCGGGAGAGGUUGGAGGUACUCCUGGGGUAGGGGUGAAAUCCUGUAAUCCUAGGUGGACCACCGGUGGCGAAGGCGUCCAACCAGAACGGCUCCGACGGUGAGGGACGAAGGCUAGGGGCGCAAACCGGAUUAGAUACCCGGGUAGUCCUAGCUGUAAACGCUGCAGACUUGGCGUUGGAGAUCCUGCGAGGGUGUCCAGUGCCGGAGAGAAGUUGUUAAGUUUGCCGCCUGGGAAGUAUGGCCGCAAGGCUGAAACUUAAAGGAAUUGGCGGGGGAGCACCGCAACGGGAGGAGCGUGCGGUUUAAUUGGAGUCAACGCCGGG
This 914-nucleotide ribosomal RNA is filed under the name uncultured archaeon. RNAcentral describes it as "bacterial SSU rRNA". It matches the Rfam family "Archaeal small subunit ribosomal RNA", at positions 1 to 922 of the family's 1478-position model. The record is from RNAcentral.